Molecule: ribosomal RNA, 119 nt
Filed under: Triticum aestivum (bread wheat)
Lineage: Eukaryota; Viridiplantae; Streptophyta; Magnoliopsida; Poales; Poaceae
Source: RNAcentral
GGAUGCGAUCAUACCAGCACUAAAGCACCGGAUCCCAUCAGAACUCCGAAGUUAAGCGUGCUUGGGCGAGAGUAGUACUAGGAUGGGUGACCUCCUGGGAAGUCCUUGUUUUGCAUUCC